Molecule: long non-coding RNA, 1649 nt
Filed under: Fragaria vesca (wild strawberry)
Lineage: Eukaryota; Viridiplantae; Streptophyta; Magnoliopsida; Rosales; Rosaceae
Description: long non-coding RNA (FVES_LNC000324)
Source: RNAcentral
CUCUCUCUCUCUCUCUCUCUCUCUCUCUCUCUCUCUCUCUCUUUGCUUGAUUCCCUCCUUCUCCUCACCAUCUAGCCAUGAAAAUUUCAAGAACCGGUUAUCGUCUGAGUGACUCAUAUCAGGUGAGAUUUAUCUUUCUAUCUUCAUUUCUUUUGUCAUCUUCUUUGAAUCUAACUGAUUUGGGUCUUAGUUCAACUCAUCGGAUUUAGGCGUGUUUUGUUGGGAGGUUGUAUAAAUGAAUUCUGAAUUGAUUUAUUGAUUUAUUGAUGGAAUAGAACUCCAAAAUGACUACUAUCUUGAAUAGGUUUGAUGGGCAAAGCCUAAAUGAAUCAAUUUUUUUGGGUGAGCAUAUACAGAAUGGAAGAGAUGUUGCUGUUGUGACUUCUGCCUUUUUCUAGGGGAUGAGAACUUCGGACUUAUCAAGAUACCGACUCAGCCCAAUCCAAUUUCAAUCACUGAUAUUCCUCUCUCUUCUACAAACAGAUCGACCUCCAACCCCAAUUCUUCUUCUCCAUACCUCACCCAGAAGUUGAGAGGAAGAUGCUGUCAAAAAUUGAUAGGCAUUGGAGGUCGCCGGAGUCAGCCUCCGGCCGCCGCUGCCGACGGAGCUGGCGGCGGCGCCACCGUUGUUUGGGAGAUUUUAAUGGUUUUAAAUGUGGAAUAUUUAGGAGAGUUUAUUGUUAUGAAUUAUGGAAUUUUUAGAUGAGUUUUGGAUAGGUUUGUGAAUUUCCGAAGUUUGGUAAUUUUGGCGGAUUAAUAAGGUAGAAUCCGGCCGUUGGAUUAAAAUCAUAUAAUCUGUGGAAGGGUGUAGUUAAGGCUGCUGGUUUUAGUAUUGAGGUGUGGACCGUAUCGAAGUUAGACAAUGAUGAGCGUGAGUAUGGCUCUCGGUUAAUUUUGCCCAUUUUGUUUAAAUAUUGGAUUUUUAGUUGGGAAAUUAAUUAUUUAUAUUUGUGCCAGAGUUCGAGGAAACCUCAUUGGAGUGGCGAUUUAGAUUUCGUCGGGCUUAUGCCUAGAGUUGUGAGUGGACCUUCGUUUUAAUUGAAAAACAUGCGAUGAAUUAUUUUGUUGAUCAUUUAUUUCUUCUGAUGAGACUUAUUGAUUUUCUCGGUUAUUUGGCAAUUUUCCUCCUUUGGAGAGUUCCCGAAAAUGAGAUUUUCGGUGGAUAUGUUUAUUGGAUGUUAUGAGUAUAGUAUGUAUAUAAAUGCUAGCUAGCCAUAAGUGCUUGGUCCGUCAUAAUGAGGUAAAAUACCAUUAUGGCAUGACGUGAGUGUUAGACACAAGCGUCAUAGCCCUAUAUGAAAACUACAUUAUUUUCUGGUUUAUUUAGGUUUUCAUAUAGGGAGUCCACACAUAUAUAUACACCGUCCUCUUCGGUCAUGAUGAGGAAAAAUUCCAUUAUGGCGUGACAUGAGCGUUAGACGCAAGCGUCGUAGCCUUGUAUGAAUUUCUAUUUUUCUAAUUUGUUCAUAAAAUUCAUACAAGGAGUCUGACGAGUGUAAAUACAUACACAUAUAUGUUUAUAUAUAGUUUAGCCUAAGAGGCUCCAUUUUAUUUGAGUUGGUGACUAGCCGGAGCUAGUCGUGAAAUUACCAGUUUAUGAGUUGAGCGCUUUUGAGUGGUUGCAUGCAGUAUAAUUUCUUCUGAAAUUA